RNAcentral lists this transfer RNA (69 nucleotides) under Leptobrachella alpina. RNAcentral's name for it is "tRNA-Ser". It matches the Rfam family "tRNA". Rfam says of the family: Transfer RNA (tRNA) molecules are approximately 80 nucleotides in length. Their secondary structure includes four short double-helical elements and three loops (D, anti-codon, and T loops). Further hydrogen bonds mediate the characteristic L-shaped molecular structure. tRNAs have two regions of fundamental functional importance: the anti-codon, which is responsible for specific mRNA codon recognition, and the 3' end, to which the tRNAs corresponding amino acid is attached (by aminoacyl-tRNA synthetases). tRNAs cope with the degeneracy of the genetic code in two manners: having more than one tRNA (with a specific anti-codon) for a particular amino acid; and 'wobble' base-pairing, i.e. permitting non-standard base-pairing at the 3rd anti-codon position. Lineage: Eukaryota; Metazoa; Chordata; Amphibia; Anura; Megophryidae. The record is from RNAcentral.
AAGAAAGUGUCAGAUGGUAUGAGUUUGACUUGAAAUUAAAUUUAGGGGGUUCGAUUCCUUCCUUUCUUG